RNAcentral lists this ribosomal RNA (500 nucleotides) under Pedobacter jejuensis. RNAcentral's name for it is "bacterial SSU rRNA". It matches the Rfam family "Bacterial small subunit ribosomal RNA", at positions 22 to 512 of the family's 1533-position model. The record is from RNAcentral. Lineage: Bacteria; Pseudomonadati; Bacteroidota; Sphingobacteriia; Sphingobacteriales; Sphingobacteriaceae.
GCUCAGGAUGAACGCUAGCGGCAGGCCUAAUACAUGCAAGUCGAACGAUAUUAAGGGGCUUGCUCCUUAAGAAAGUGGCGCACGGGUGCGUAACGCGUAUGCAACCUACCUUAAUCAGGGGGAUAGCCCGAAGAAAUUCGGAUUAACACCGCAUAAAAACACAGGAUAGCAUUAUCCAAUGUUCAAAUAUUUAUAGGAUUAAGAUGGGCAUGCGUGUCAUUAGCUAGUUGGCGGGGUAACGGCCCACCAAGGCGACGAUGACUAGGGGAUCUGAGAGGAUGACCCCCCACACUGGUACUGAGACACGGACCAGACUCCUACGGGAGGCAGCAGUAAGGAAUAUUGGUCAAUGGAGGCAACUCUGAACCAGCCAUGCCGCGUGCAGGAAGACUGCCCUAUGGGUUGUAAACUGCUUANNNUANUUAUCCGGGAAUAAACCUUUCUACGUGUAGAGAGCUGAAUGUACCGGAAGAAUAAGGAUCGGCUAACUCCGUGCCAGC